CAGCAGCACACAUCAUGAGGGCUGCUUUCAUUAUUUGGAAGACAGUGGACAUUAGCUGUAUCAACAAAGCAUUUGAAAAGUCUAAGUGAGACAUAAAUAGAAAACUACUAAGUUGCCAUUUAUCACCAUUUAUCAUCAUUGAUGCCAGACUGCAGUUUGACAUGAACUAAGAAAAUCAGAUGUUUCACUUAUAGACAUGGCUAUUUUCAGCAUUUCCUCAGCAUCUUGGAGGCAUCUGGACACAAGGGUAGAAACAAUAAUGACCAUUUAACCAUUCCAGAGUCCUUCUAGAAACACAAUGGCAAAAAAAGGCACUGGAUACAGUAGGAAGAGUUUGGAAAUUUAUAUUGGCUUUAACAGUGAGCAUUAAAUAUGCACUUCUGAAGGUUACAGUUAGCUCAAGAACAGGAGUCUCAAUG
Molecule: long non-coding RNA, 419 nt
Organism: Pezoporus occidentalis (night parrot)
Lineage: Eukaryota; Metazoa; Chordata; Aves; Psittaciformes; Psittacidae
Exons: 3
Source: RefSeq, a predicted model, not a curated record